Molecule: ribosomal RNA, 520 nt
Filed under: uncultured bacterium
Lineage: Bacteria
Description: bacterial SSU rRNA
Rfam family: Bacterial small subunit ribosomal RNA
Source: RNAcentral
CAGCAGUGGGGAAUUUUGGACAAUGGGGGCAACCCUGAUCCAGCCAUUCCGCGUGAGUGAAGAAGGCCUUCGGGUUGUAAAGCUCUUUCGGCAGGAACGAAACGGUGGAAGCUAAUAUCUUCUGCUAAUGACGGUACCUGAAGAAGAAGCACCGGCUAACUACGUGCCAGCAGCCGCGGUAAUACGUAGGGUGCGAGCGUUAAUCGGAAUUACUGGGCGUAAAGCGUGCGCAGGCGGUUUCGUAAGACAGAUGUGAAAUCCCCGGGCUUAACCUGGGAACUGCGUUUGUGACUGCGAGACUCGAGUGUGGCAGAGGGGGGUGGAAUUCCACGUGUAGCAGUGAAAUGCGUAGAGAUGUGGAGGAACACCGAUGGCGAAGGCAGCCCCCUGGGUUAACACUGACGCUCAUGCACGAAAGCGUGGGGAGCAAACAGGAUUAGAUACCCUGGUAGUCCACGCCCUAAACGAUGCGAACUAGGUGUUGGAGAAGGAGACUUCUUUAGUACCGUAGCUAACGCGU